Molecule: long non-coding RNA, 208 nt
Organism: Mastomys coucha (southern multimammate mouse)
Lineage: Eukaryota; Metazoa; Chordata; Mammalia; Rodentia; Muridae
Exons: 3
Source: RefSeq, a predicted model, not a curated record
GAAUGCUAGAGGGAAAAGACCAGGCUUUCCAGGGAUAUCCACUGAACAUGGCAUAACAAGAUGCACUAAGACUAGGCACAAACCUCAUAUCCAAACUUGGCUGGACACGGCAACCCAGUAGGAGGUAAAGAGUCCUAUGAGCAGGCAAAAGAGUCAGAGACACCUCCACUUGCAUUUUUGGAGACAUGGAGAAUUUGGAAAGAAAAAA